RNAcentral lists this transfer RNA (358 nucleotides) under uncultured Microcystis sp. RNAcentral describes it as "partial 16S-23S ribosomal RNA intergenic spacer". The stretch from base 133 to 206 matches the Rfam family "tRNA". The record is from RNAcentral. Lineage: Bacteria; Bacillati; Cyanobacteriota; Cyanophyceae; Chroococcales; Microcystaceae.
AAGGGAGACCUAAUUCCGGUAGGAGACGAAAAAAAAGUAGUCCAAACCAAGAAUCAAUCCCAAAAGGUCGGAACGAGGUAUGAGGCUUUCAAACUAGGUUCUGGGUUCAUAAAAGACCUGAAUCAGGAACAAGGGCUAUUAGCUCAGGUGGUUAGAGCGCACCCCUGAUAAGGGUGAGGUCCCUGGUUCGAGUCCAGGAUGGCCCACCUGCACAGGUGGCAAAAACAAGAGAAGCUCCGAAUCAGCACCUUAUCUUAUAUACAUAUAUAAGAGAGAAUGCUGGCUCUGAGUACAGAGUCCAGAGGAACCUUGAAAACUGCAUAGAGCUAGGUGAAAAGGCCAAAAAAGAAGACCGCAA